This is a long non-coding RNA of Nicotiana tabacum (common tobacco), 923 nucleotides long. RefSeq lists it as uncharacterized. The record is from RefSeq and is a predicted model, not a curated record. Lineage: Eukaryota; Viridiplantae; Streptophyta; Magnoliopsida; Solanales; Solanaceae.
AUAUUGUAGAGAAACCCUAAGACAUUCACCUCCUUCCUCGUACAUUCUCUGCAACUCCGCCGGAGUCGCCGCCGUCGGCGAACGUUACCGUCUCCAAUCAACCUCAAAAUUACACCACCAAUGCCCCUCAUUUCCCUCUUUCCAACCCUGCCUUUGGUUUCUUUCGAAUCACAGCCAAACAUCUCGAAUAAUUAAUCAAAGGUUUUCCGUCCAUGACACAACCCCUCCCAAACUCCACCAAAUUUACACCCUAGAACCGCCUUCAUCUCCUCUGUCAAACCCCCUAAGUUUCGUUCUUCGAAUCCAACCGGAACCUUUCGAAUUUUAAUUUAAAUGUUUCCGGCCAAAACCCUAAGUGUGCCAAAUCGUGCCAAAUUGGCACAAUAUGAUACUUUCAUCAUCUGCAUGAAGAUUCCAUCAUCUAGGGCGUUCAAACAUCAUCAGAAUUGGCCGACUUUGGAAAAUAAUGAAUGGCCGGAGUUUCUUUAUCAGUACAUCUUCUGAUUUCCUAUGAACUAUAGAAGAACUGAUGUACCUCUGAGUUGAAUUGAAAUAGAAGCACCUGCCAGAUCCGAGUUCAUCUAAAUGCUGUCUAUAGUUGCUAGUUAAAUAAAUGCUUAGUACUUGUUUUUGCGUUAUUAUAAUGACUGUUUGGACUGUGUUGUAUGGACUAUUUUGGACUGUUUUGCUUACUAGUUCAUUCAGUAGUUCCUCUCCAGUAGUAAUAAAAUCGACUCAAGUAGCUUUGUAUACUAAAAAACAGGUUCAGCGGGGUCCAUUGGUUGUAGUGAAGGUGACUUAGCAGAUUGUACUAAUUAAAUGCAAGAUGUGGACUCAUGUUUCUCUUGGUAGUUUAUGCUAGGCAACAGUUUGAGUUGUACUAAGGAUUAAUACAAUAGGCGUUUGGACAAUAUUUGGUAAAA